Long non-coding RNA from Sebastes umbrosus (honeycomb rockfish), 206 nucleotides. RefSeq lists it as uncharacterized. NCBI's taxonomy places the organism in Eukaryota, Metazoa, Chordata, Actinopteri, Perciformes, Sebastidae. The transcript is spliced from 4 exons. The record is from RefSeq and is a predicted model, not a curated record.
GGAGACUCUGAGAUUGAGUUACUGCUGGUUGUCAGAGAUCAGCUGUGCUUCUCUGGCCUCAGCUCUGAAUUCCAACCCCUCCCAUCUGAGAGAGCUGGAUCUGAGAGGAAACAAGCUGAAGGAUUCAGGAGUACAGCUGCUGUCUGGUUUUCUGGAAAGUCGACACUGUGGACUGGAGACUCUGAGAUUAAGGUGCUUCAGUUUGU